AAAGGGUAAAAUGUACGGUUAUUUUUCAUUCGUUUUGGGGGGCGGGGUUGCUCACCCCUCCCCGGUUAACUGCUAGCGACUGACAGGCGGGGGACGGCCGAGACAGACAAAGAGAAGCCGAAGACUCUGGGGUCUUCAGGAGAGGGUCGCACGAGCUGAGUCGGGGACAGACAGGUGGAGUUUCCAGAGCCUGCACCACCCGGGACACUGCUGGCAGCUCUCUAGGCCCUAGGUUCGGGUCUCGGAACUUUGUUUGGGGUGCAGGAUUCCGAUCCUGGCGGGAAGGCGGGAGAGGGACGGAGGGCGGGGGGCUAAGCGGGAA
This 322-nucleotide long non-coding RNA is filed under the name Homo sapiens (human). RNAcentral describes it as "non-protein coding lnc-GIP-1:2". Lineage: Eukaryota; Metazoa; Chordata; Mammalia; Primates; Hominidae. The record is from RNAcentral.